CCACCUUUGACAUGGCAGGAAGGCUCCAGAGAUGGGGCUGUCUCGAAAGAGAACCUGCACACAGGUGCUGCAUGGCUGUCGUCAGCUCGUGUCGUGAGAUGUUGGGUUAAGGCCCGCAACGAGCGCAACCCUUGUGUUUAGUUGCCAACAGGUUAAGCUGUGCACUCUAAACAGACUGCCGUGGAUAACACGGAGGAAGGUGGGGAUGACGUCAAAUCAUCAUGCCCCUUAUGAUCUGGGCUACACACGUGCUACAAUGGUCGGUACAACGGGCAGCGAAAGAGUAAUCUGGAGCGAAUCCUAAAAAGCCGAUCCCAGUUCGGAUUGUGGGCUGAAACUCGCCCACAUGAAGUUGGAGUUGCUAGUAAUCGCGAAUCAGAAUGUCGCGGUGAAUGCGUUCCC
This 402-nucleotide ribosomal RNA is filed under the name uncultured bacterium. Its description in RNAcentral is "bacterial SSU rRNA". It matches the Rfam family "Bacterial small subunit ribosomal RNA", at positions 974 to 1375 of the family's 1533-position model. The record is from RNAcentral.